GCAGUUCUAUUUGCUGUUCUCCUCCUCCCAUUCCUAACAAGCCGUGUACAGUUGUGGAUCCCCCCAGAUGAACUUGAUGGCUGAAGUAGUGUAUGAGUCAAGCUUUUCUCCAAAGACACCUGAAUUCACCCCAGGCUCCUCUACUCCUCUACUUGGAUACAAGGACAGAAAAAUUCCCUGCUCAGUGGAGCUGAGAAGACUGAUGGUGCAGUGCUUCUACAAGCGUCACCAAAGGGACAUAACCUUCUUGAAGUGCUGGUGUGUCUGGAACAAAGCUCAAAUUAUCAGACUGGAACAGGAUAAGAGGAGUGGAAAGUAAAUUACCAAGGACAAGGUUGAAGCCACCAUAACGAGAGUAGCACUCAUAAGAAGAAGUGAUAUCAGAGCUUCCUCUCUUCACUCUGUGAAGAUACAGCAAGAUGGUGAGCAUCAUUAGAAGGAAAGAAGGUCCUAAUCAGAGCCGGAUCUGCUGCCUUCUUGAUCUUUGACUUCUCAGCCUCAAGAACUUUGAACAUUAAACAUAUGUCAACUAAGCCAUUCAGUGUAUGGUAUUUUUAACACCAGUCAAGCUGAAUAAGACAGUGGUCUAAUUUCCAAGGAGUCAAACAAAAUGAACAUAGUUGAGGGUUUAUUGAUGUCAUGAAAAAAUUGCUUAGGCUCCUCAUCUGUAAUAUAUGAAUAAUUACAGAUAUCGCAGAAUGUUUUAUAAAGAUUAAAUGAGAUAUAGUUCUUAAAACAUUCAACUUAUCAUCUGCCUGAGGCUGUGCCCAGAGAUCUUUUUUGAAUUCUUGCCCUCAAUGUGUUUUUAUUUGUUUGUUUGUUUUUAUGUGAGGCUCCCAUUCCAGUUUCUUGGAUACGUGUUAAGGGCAAAGGGACUUAUGGUCACUGAAAUCUGAGGAUAAUAUGGGAAGGAAUGUGAGCCUGAGUUGGCUUGGCAUAUCCUAGACGCAGCCUUGGAAAGUCAUUUGGCAGGAGGAACUGCAAGUUUUACACUUAGAGAAGCCAAGAAGAAAAUAGAGACGGAAGUGAAGGAGUCAAUGUUACAUGUGACCAUAUGAGAGGAAGAGGAAAGCUGAGAUCACAGGAAAUACAGCAGGCAGUAGUUUGUUAAAUAUGAAAAGUGGCUAAUUUUAGUUAGAAACUUUCUUUGGCUGCAACUGCGUUCGUCUGAAACUGGUUGUUGACUCAAAGUCAGACGUCUGUACUGUUAAAAUUAUUCAUGAUAUGAGAAAAAAAAUUGCCCAUGUCUCCUGCCUAUAUACAUAUGUAUGGAGGGAUGUAGGUUGUUUUAAGUACAAUAGGACAGCCACGGCUAGAGCUUUCCUCGUAGAGAUCUGCCAUAGCCACCUACUGCUGCGUCAUCUUGUAAUAACAUAACCGGUGAAAAAAUAACAACCAAAAUACCGACUUGAUCUCCCAGGACAUUGCUUUAAAUGGUAAAGUAUAGGAAGGGACUGACUUACAAAGUCUAGUGUCAUCCACCCCUCUACAUAGGGAUUCUUCCUUAUUCUAGAAAGUGCUUGUAACAAAUAGCAUAAGUAGAGGGCAGAGGGCCAUGAGGGAUCUGCAAGCAGAGGUGUGAUUCUGUUGAAAAGCAGGUUGAAGAAAACACUAAGUGGAGAACUUCAGAUAUCAGAAAAGCUGCCACAUACAAUAUUUAACCUUGUUUUUCCAGAAAGCCUGUAGAGAAGCUCAUAUACAAGUCAGAUAUUCUGUCAGCAAAAUAUAUUUAUAACAGACUACCCACUCAAGACUGAGUGGGUGUUCAGUAUAUGGUUAAAUAUUAAAAAGCAAAUUCUGAAAACAGUAUGUUUUACAAUAUUUUGUUUUAUCAGAAGUUCCCGAUGAAAUGUAUGUUCUACAAGCCACAUGGAAUCUUUGAGGGGACUCUUUGCUGUUAGCUAGGUCUCUUUUUUCCUAGGGAAUUUAUUUUUUCACAGUAUCUCGUACAUGUGUACUUCCUGUCCUUGUUUGUAUAAAUGAAAGCGUUUUGUUCAGUGUUAGACAUCAACUGGAUAGUGAUCGGAAGAGCUCUUUUGAUUAGUUCUGUAGGUCUAUGUUAGCUGCCCCUGGUGAUGACUUGGAGGGAUGUCUGACAUUCUUCCCCACACUAGUCUCCAAAAAGUCUUUGAGUUAUGGCAAUUAAAUAUGUCUCUGCUUUCAAAAAAAAAAAAAAGGACUGAGUGGGUGCUAUCUGAAUGCUAAGUCCCCUGUUAUUUGAGAUAUUCAGUAUUCAAAUGUCUCCCAGAUAUGAUCUCUUGACAUAUAAGCUAUAGAAUAAUCCUUUCUUCCAAUAAGGAAGCCCACAGUCCAGCAUUUUGUAAUGUAAUGUAAUGUGUCUGAAGGAUGCCAGUGUUGUCCAUGGUCAUUGGACAUUCUUAAGACCAUUCUUCAUGAAAAGGAAAACAAAAGCAAAUUUAGUCAUUGCUAAACUUUGCAUGGUGCUACAUGUAAAAUAACUUCAGUUUUAAGGUCCAAAAUAGAAUUUCCCUUUUCAGUUUUAAUGAAAAAAAAAAAUGUAAAUCCAACCACUACCCCAUCAAUUUCCUCUUCUUCAUUCUCUGAAAGUAAUCACUAUUCUGGAAAUCUCUCUAACACUACCACUAUCUAUAUAUAAUCAUGCAUGCUUUUAUAGUUUUCCUUCUUAUGUGUAUUUCCAUAAACAAAAUAAAUUAUUGUUUCAUUUGGUUUAAAAAUGUAUUUAAAUUUUCAACUGAAGUUACUCAAUAUUAUGUUUUUCAUGCUUAUUCAUGUUGAAACAAGUUGAUAUAAGUUUCCCACAUACUCCUUCAUUGUAAGAAUAAUGUUUGAUAUUCUGCUCUUGUAAGAGUGAUAAGCAAAACAACACCCUUCUUCCCAGUCUUACAUAGUCUCACAGCAUUAUGUUUCCAUGAAUCUCCUUUAUUCCAAGACCAGACAGAUGUUUUCUGGGGUAAGAUACUCAGAAGUGGAAUGGACAUACCAUAAAGUAUGGGUAGUUUUGACUGUUUUCAAUUUUAUCCACAUACUCUUCAAAAUGGUGGUAUCAAAUUACACUGCAGAGGUAUGACUGGACUUAAAAUUUAAGUGGCUGGACUUGGAAUUUGUAGUAAUUUAUAUUCCUAAUUUAUGUUCACCAACACAUAUUUGUCUAAUUUUGUUUAUCUGGAAGGUCAGAAAUUUUAAAUUUCUUUUGAUUUGAACCCCCCUUCUAAGUAGUAAAGUUAAGUAUCUUUUCUGUUGCUCUUGUUUGCAGAUAGUGUUUUUCUUCAAAUUAUUUGUUCAAAUUUUUAUUCAUUUAUAGAACACUUUAUUAAGGGUUUGGAACAUUUUUCUGUGUUCUAGGUAUAGACAGCAUCACAUCACAUCAAUUCACUGGAUAGUCAUAGGAAUAAUCUGUUAUUAUUUUAAUGGGACAAAGUAUCAAUAUGUUCCUUUUCAAUGUAUAAUUUUCAUUUUAUUUUAAAUAUUAUCAUAUAUUGAUAUCAUAAAGAUGUUCUAGAUUUUCUUUUUAUUUUAGUUUUUACAUUUUGUAUUUUAACCCAUCUGAAUUGAAUUAAAGUUUUCAAUUGGAAAGUCAGUGUUUACAACCCAGUUAAUAACUUAUCCACUAUUUCCCAACUGUUUAACAUUUCCCCACUGACUGGUAAUGCCUCCUUUGUGGUAUAACUAGUUUCCAAUCUAUAGGUGGUUAUACUUUGGCACUCUCUGUUAUUUUCUACUAAUUGUCAACCAAACUCUUAAUAACUAUUGCUUUAGCUUAAGUCUUUGUGGAUUAAGCUCCCAUUAUUUUGUUUUUAAUUUUUCAAUUGUUUCAAUUGUUGUUUGUCCUUUCCGUUUAUAAAUACAGUCUACGAUCAGCUUGUCUGAUAUCACUGGAAGAAUAUUUCAGAGUGUUAGAAACUGCAUGCUACUUAUGGAUUAAUUUAUGGAAAAUCUCCAUCGCUGUCUUAUUAAAAUUUUCCAAUAUUGAACUUGGUAUAUCUCUCUUAUAAUAUCAUAUUAUUUUAUUUUCUUUAUUAACCUUUUAAUUUUUUUUAAUUUUUAUAUAUCUCUUAUUUGAUUUAAUUCUAAGUACUUUAUAGAAUCCUUUAUAGAUUAUAUCUUUUUAGAAACUAAAGUAUCUAAUCACCACUAACAUAUAGAAACACCACCAUUUUUGUAUAUUCGUGUAAUUUAGUUUGCAUAAUUAUGCUGAAAUAUCUUAUUAGUUAUAGCAAAUUACUUGUACAUUCUCAUUCCUUGAUUAUUGUAUGCUAACAAUGAUAGCAUCUAUAAAUAACAAAUAUGUUGUUUUGUCAUCAAUUACUUAAAAUUUUUAUUUUACAAAUAAUUCUCUUGUACUGGCUAAGUGAUCCAUUUAAAUAAAUAGAAACCUGGCAUGUUUCAGUUAUUUCCAUCAACUC
Bos indicus x Bos taurus (hybrid cattle) is the source of this 4385-nucleotide long non-coding RNA. The record is from Ensembl. Lineage: Eukaryota; Metazoa; Chordata; Mammalia; Artiodactyla; Bovidae.